CGGGAGGCAGCAGUAGGGAAUCUUCCACAAUGGACGAAAGUCUGAUGGAGCAACGCCGCGUGAGUGAUGAAGGUUUUCGGAUCGUAAAACUCUGUUGUUAAAGAAGAACAAGUGUUAGAGUAACUGUUAACACUUUGACGGUAUUUAACCAGAAAGCCACGGCUAACUACGUGCCAGCAGCCGCGGUAAUACGUAGGUGGCAAGCGUUGUCCGGAUUUAUUGGGCGUAAAGCGAGCGCAGGCGGUUUUGUAAGUCUGCUGUGAAAGCCCUCAGCUCAACUGAGGAAGUGCAGUGGAAACUACAAAACUUGAGUACAGAAGAGGAAAGUGGAACUCCAUGUGUAGCGGUGAAAUGCGUAGAUAUAUGGAAGAACACCAGUGGCGAAAGGCGGCUUUCUGGUCUGUUACUGACGCUGAGGCUCGAAAGCAUGGGUAGCGAACAGGAUUAGAUACCCUGGUAGUCCAUGCCGUAAACGAUGAAUACUAGGUGUUGGAGGGUUUCCGCCCUUCAGUGCCGCAGCUAACGCAUUAAGUAUUCCGCCUGGGGAGUACGACCGCAAGGUUGAAACUCAAAGGAAUUGACGGGGGCCCGCACAAGUGGUGGAGCAUGUGGUUUAAUUCGAUGCUACGCGAAGAACCUUACCAGCUCUUGACAUCUUCUGCCAACCCAAGAGAUUGGGCGUUCCCUUCGGGGACAGAAUGACAGGUGGUGCAUGGUUGUCGUCAGCUCGUGUCGUGAGAUGUUGGGUUAAGUCCCGCAACGAGCGCAACCCUUAUUAUUAGUUGCCAGCAUUUAGUUGGGCACUCUAGUGAGACUGCCGGUGAUAAACCGGAGGAAGGUGGGGACGACGUCAAAUCAUCAUGCCCCUUAUGAGCUGGGCUACACACGUGCUACAAUGGAUGGUACAACGAGUCGCGAAACCGCGAGGUCAAGCUAAUCUCUUAAAGCCAUUCUCAGUUCGGAUUGCAGGCUGCAACUCGCCUGCAUGAAGUUGGAAUCACUAGUAAUCGUGGAUCAGCAUGCCACGGUGAAUACGUUCCCGGGCCUUGUACA
This 1053-nucleotide ribosomal RNA is filed under the name Apilactobacillus kunkeei. RNAcentral describes it as "bacterial SSU rRNA". It matches the Rfam family "Bacterial small subunit ribosomal RNA", at positions 342 to 1387 of the family's 1533-position model. Lineage: Bacteria; Bacillati; Bacillota; Bacilli; Lactobacillales; Lactobacillaceae. The record is from RNAcentral.